UACGUAGGGGGCAAGCGUUGUCCGGAAUUAUUGGGCGUAAAGAGCGCGUAGGCGGCCCGGUAAGUCGGUUGUGAAAGUCGGGGGCUCAACCCUCGGAUGCCGAUCGAUACUGUCGGGCUAGAGUACGGAAGAGGCGAGUGGAAUUCCUGGUGUAGCGGUGAAAUGCGCAGAUAUCGAGAGGAACACCUGCGGCGAAGGCGGGUUGCUGGGCUGACACUGACGCUGAGGCGCGAAAGCUAGGGGAGCGAACGGG
RNAcentral lists this ribosomal RNA (253 nucleotides) under uncultured bacterium. Its description in RNAcentral is "partial 16S ribosomal RNA". It matches the Rfam family "Bacterial small subunit ribosomal RNA", at positions 524 to 776 of the family's 1533-position model. The record is from RNAcentral.